RNAcentral lists this ribosomal RNA (396 nucleotides) under uncultured bacterium. Its description in RNAcentral is "partial 16S ribosomal RNA". It matches the Rfam family "Bacterial small subunit ribosomal RNA", at positions 523 to 918 of the family's 1533-position model. The record is from RNAcentral.
AUACGUAGGUGACAAGCGUUAUCCGGAUUUACUGGGCGUAAAGGGCUUGUAGGCGGUCUUGCAAGUCAGAAGUGAAAUUCCUGAGCUCAACUCGGGCGCUGCUUCUGAAACUGCAGGACUUGAGUGCUGGAGGGGAUAGCGGAAUUCCUAGUGGAGCGGUAAAAUGCGCAGAUAUUAGGAAGAACACCGGUGGCGAAGGCGGCUAGCUGGACAGUAACUGACGCUGAGGCGGGAAAGCGUGGGGAGCAAACAGGAUUAGAUGCCCGGGUAUUCCACGCCGUAAACGAUGAAUACUAGGUGUGGGGGGACUGACCCCCUCCGUGCCGCAGUUAACACAAUAAGUGUUCCACCUGGGGAGUACGGCCGCAAGGUUGAAACUCAAAUGAAUUGGCGGGG